This 538-nucleotide ribosomal RNA is filed under the name Eucalliax quadracuta. RNAcentral describes it as "partial large subunit ribosomal RNA". It matches the Rfam family "Bacterial large subunit ribosomal RNA", at positions 1885 to 2625 of the family's 2925-position model. Lineage: Eukaryota; Metazoa; Arthropoda; Malacostraca; Decapoda; Callianassidae. The record is from RNAcentral.
GUCUGCUUGAAAAUAUAAGCAGUCUAACCUGCCCACUGAAUCACUUUUAAAGGCCGCGGUACCCUGACCGUGCGAAGGUAGCAUAAUAAUUAGUCUUUUAAUUGAAGACUGGAAUGAAGGGUUGGACAAAAAGCAACCUGUCUCAACUAUAUAUAUUGAACUUAACUUUUAAGUGAAAAGGCUUAAAUAAUCUAGGAGGACGAUAAGACCCUAUAAAACUUAUAUUUAUAAACAUAUAGAUUGUGAAUUAUUAGUGAAAAACAGUAUAUAUUUUCAUAAAUUUCGUUGGGGCGACGAGAGUAUAAAAUUAACUGCUCUUUAUAUUAAACAACCAUAAUUGUACACAAUGACCCUUUCUCAGGAUUUAAAGAAAAAGUUACUUUAGGGAUAACAGCGUUAUUUUUUUUAAGAGUCCUUAUCAACAAAAAAGUUUGCGACCUCGAUGUUGAAUUAAAAUUUCCUUAUAAUGCAGAAGUUAUAAAGGAAGGUCUGUUCGACCUUUAAAUUUUUACAUGAUUUGAGUUCAAACCGGUGUAAG